AAAUUAGCUCUUGGAUGAAUGAAGGCUAUAGAUUUACAUUAGAAAUCUUAGAAAUUAAAGGUAGAGGUGUGGCCGCCCUCUCACAAGCCACCACUAAAUUGUAUAAAAAUGGCUUGGUUUUCCAAGCCCUCUUUCUCUCUUCUUUGGUGAAGGGCAAAGCGAUGCUAAAUUUUAGCCUUAAAUCCUAAUUUUAAUCUCAUUUUUGAUUU
Molecule: long non-coding RNA, 209 nt
Filed under: Physcomitrium patens
Lineage: Eukaryota; Viridiplantae; Streptophyta; Bryopsida; Funariales; Funariaceae
Description: long non-coding RNA (PPAT_LNC010771)
Source: RNAcentral